AACGAACGCUGGCGGCAUGCCUAACACAUGCAAGUCGAACGGGACCUCCGGGCCUAGUUGCGCUCGGGUGGGGAACGCGGGGGAAGCUGCACUUAGGUACCGGAUCCUUCACCUUAGGGGGUGCUAAUGCAGGUUAAUUUAUUCCGACAAAGGAUUUACCGCGUUUGGGUGGGCCCGGGAUGGAUUAGCCGGUUGGUAGGGUAAAAGCCUACCAAGGCGACGAUCCAUAGCUGGGCUGAGAGGAAGAUCAGCCACACUGGGACUACGACACGGGCCAGAAUCCUAGGGGAGGCAGGAGUGGGGAAUAUUGUACAAUGGGGGAAAGCGUGAUACAGCAAUGCCGCGUGAGUCAUGAAGGCGUUAGGGUUGUAAAGCCGUUUUACACGGGACGAUAAUGACGGUACCGGGAGAAUAAGCACCGGCUAACUCCGUG
This 433-nucleotide ribosomal RNA is filed under the name uncultured bacterium. RNAcentral's name for it is "partial 16S ribosomal RNA". It matches the Rfam family "Bacterial small subunit ribosomal RNA", at positions 29 to 507 of the family's 1533-position model. The record is from RNAcentral.